UACAAGUAGCAGACCUACAUAAUUUGAAUUGUUUUCGUGACUUCGUGGGUCAAUAGUAGGCUGCGGUUUUAGGAUCUGGCAGUAGCCAGAUCUGUUUGUGCUUAUGCCCGAAGGUAAAAUCUGGCGAUUUGGGUGACUAAACGGAAGUCUGCGAAGGAAUUAAUCUUUUAAGCUUCCAAUGUCAAAUAUAGUUCAACCUUAUGCUGUCAACUCUGCAUAUGAAGUAGUAUUUGCUUGGAGAGCAGCAUUGCUUAGCAAAGUGUGUGUGUGUGUUUUGCUUGCUGGGUCAGAGUAGUAGGUGGAGUAUUUUGCUAGGGAGAGCAGCAUUGCUUAGCAAAGUGUGUGUGUGUUUUGCUUGCUGGGUCAGAGUAGUAGGUGGAGUAUUUUGCUAGAUCAUAUCAUCAAUCAGUCAAUAAUAUAAUGUGUCUGUGUAUGUAUGUAACUAAGAUUCGAUUCCAACUCCCAAGAUAUUAUUACACGGAGUUAAGAACCUGGAUCAUAUGCAGUGUUAUAUUAUAGAAACUUGUCAAAGCCAUCAGGAUAUUACUGUUGUUUAUGGAUGAAUAGUGGCAGCAAAGAAGCUUGAUAGAAAUUGUUUUUUAAAAAUGAAUAGUGGCAGCAAGUGUGAAGAUGGUGGUAGCCUGCUUGGUCCAUUUGUAUCCCUGCUUAUCUCAAAUGAAUAGUGGCAGCAAGUCUGAACAUUCAAAUGCUAUUUGGUACUAGAAGUGAAAAUAGUACAGAUGUUUUGUUGCUUGGAUAACAUGUUAGUGUGUUUGUAUAAAUGAUAGAUGAGAUAAAAAUAUGGCCAUGCUCAUGUUCUACCUUCAUGUGCACCAUUGCUAAUAUCCUGAUGACUUGCCCUAUAAUUAAUUUGAAACGUGGAACUAUUCAUCUUUAAAUAGUUAAAUAAUGUGCACCUCGGCCACUAUUCAUUUUUUUGUAAUUUUUGUUAUUUAAAUACCUGCAGUGCUAGUUCACACUUUUUUUGUAAAUGUUGUUAUUUAAAUACCUGCGGUGUUCGCUCACAUCUUAUUCUUAUUUUUUGCACAGGUGAAGUACAAAGCCAAGUGUGAAGCUAUGAAGCGUAUCAACAAAGAGUAGCAUAUGUAUUGUAAUAGUAGGC
RNAcentral lists this long non-coding RNA (1123 nucleotides) under Hordeum vulgare. RNAcentral's name for it is "long non-coding RNA (HVUL_LNC007631)". Lineage: Eukaryota; Viridiplantae; Streptophyta; Magnoliopsida; Poales; Poaceae. The record is from RNAcentral.